Transfer RNA from Aspergillus terreus NIH2624, 101 nucleotides. It matches the Rfam family "tRNA". Rfam says of the family: Transfer RNA (tRNA) molecules are approximately 80 nucleotides in length. The record is from Rfam. NCBI's taxonomy places the organism in Eukaryota, Fungi, Ascomycota, Eurotiomycetes, Eurotiales, Aspergillaceae.
GGCAAGGUGGCCGAGUGGUUAUGGCGUGCGGUUCAGGUUAAAACUGAACAUUCAGUGUCCGCAUGGUGCAAACCGCGUGGGUUCGAAUCCCACCCUUGUCA